Molecule: non-coding RNA, 66 nt
Filed under: Hathewaya proteolytica DSM 3090
Lineage: Bacteria; Bacillati; Bacillota; Clostridia; Eubacteriales; Clostridiaceae
Description: Bacterial small subunit ribosomal RNA
Rfam family: Bacterial small subunit ribosomal RNA
Source: Rfam by way of RNAcentral
UAAAUUGAGAGUUUGAUCCUGGCUCAGGACGAACGCUGGCGGCGUGCUUAACACAUGCAAGUCGAG